CAUUAAAGAAUACACGGCUUCCUAGCCCUAUUCUCACCCUUUGUUUAUUUACUUUGUUGCUUUGGCGGCGCCAGCUUCGGCUGGGCAAGUCCGUCAAGGGCCCAACUCUUGAAUCUCUGCUGUCUGAGUACUAUCUAAUAGUUAAAACUUUCAACAACGGAUCUCUUGGUUCUGGCAUCGAUGAAGAACGCAGCGAAAUGCGAUAAGUAAUGUGAAUUGCAGAAUUCAGUGAAUCAUCGAAUCUUUGAACGCACAUUGCGCCCUCUGGUAUUCCGGGGGGCAUGCCUGUUCGAGCGUCAUUACAACCCUCAAGCUCUGCUUGGUGUUGGGCUCGCCCUGUAGGGCCUGCCUCAAAGUCAGUGGCGGCACCGUCUGACCCUAAGCGUAGUAAUACUUGCCGCUUAUUGGAGUCGGGCGGCUGCUUGUCAACAACCCCC
This 437-nucleotide ribosomal RNA is filed under the name fungal sp. T5.23. RNAcentral's name for it is "eukaryotic LSU rRNA". The stretch from base 146 to 299 matches the Rfam family "5.8S ribosomal RNA". Lineage: Eukaryota; Fungi. The record is from RNAcentral.